This 908-nucleotide ribosomal RNA is filed under the name uncultured fungus. RNAcentral describes it as "bacterial SSU rRNA". It matches the Rfam family "Eukaryotic small subunit ribosomal RNA", at positions 566 to 1469 of the family's 1831-position model. Lineage: Eukaryota; Fungi. The record is from RNAcentral.
GCCCAUAAUAACACCUCUAUUUUUUUUUCGGCCGCCAAUUCUCCCUUGUGCCGGCCCGCGGGGGAAUUCCCGCUCCCAUGCCCUCUAUUAAAGUUGUUGGAGCUCAAAAAGCCGGCGUUCGCCCCUGGGCCUGGGUGGCCGGGCCGCCUCACCCCGGGUACUGGUCCGGCCGGGCCUUUCCUUCUCGGGAGCCGGGUGGCCUUCCCUGGGGGUGGGCGGGAGCCGGGACUUUUACUUUAAAAAAAUUAGAGUGUUCAAAGAAGGCCUUUCCUCCAAUACUUUAACAGGGAAUAGUAUAAUAGGACGUGUGGUUCUAUUUUGUUGGUUUCUAGAACCACGGUAAUGAUUAAUGAUGGAGUCGGGGGCAUCCGCUUCUUAUGCCAGAGGAGAAGUUCUUGGAUUUAUUGGAGACGAAUUACUGGUACACCAUUUCCCAAAAAUGUUUUCUUUAUUCAGUGAACCGAACUUAGGGGAUCGGACAAGAACACAUAUCCUCGUACACUUAAACAUCAACUAUGCCCACUGAGGGCGGACGAUGUUAUUAUUUUGACUCUUUCCCCUCCUCACCAGACAUCCCAGUGCUUCAGUUCUGUUGGGAGUAUGGGCGCGGGCUGAGGCUUUAAGAAUUAUGACAGAGCACACCCCCAUCCGUGCAGCCUGCUGCUUCUGAUUCUACUCACCACGAAGCUCCUCGAGUCGCACCAAUACGAUGGAAGAUGACAGUCUCGUGAUGUGCUGGUGGGGUGCAUGGCCGUGCUGCUGGCGGUAGCGAUUUGUCUCGUCAUACGGAUACGAAAUACAUAGCACGAUACACUAGCCGAGCAUCAAGCAUGCGACUCGAGCUUCUGAAUGCGAGCAAUCGCUGACAUCCAAUGCUAGUCAUAGCGCAAUAACAGAUUGGUAUCAUG